Peromyscus maniculatus bairdii (prairie deer mouse) is the source of this 821-nucleotide non-coding RNA. The record is from RefSeq and is a predicted model, not a curated record. Lineage: Eukaryota; Metazoa; Chordata; Mammalia; Rodentia; Cricetidae.
UCAGGCCGCUGGGAGGCAGUCAUGGCUGCUGCUUCUCAGCUCUGUCAUCAAGAGGCCGCGGGAGGUGUCAGUGUGGUGCUGGGCAGAUGGUAACGAGAGAGUGGGAGCAGCUUGUCCAGAGGCAGCCUGGAGGCUGAUCCUCUCUUCGCCGGUCACUGUUCACUGCAGAGUUGCGGUAGCAGCCACUUGGAGUACUUCCGGCAGCCUCCCCAGGUGCCGGGGAGUAGCAGUAUUUCCUGACCUGAGGACUUGGCCCGCCCAAGGGCGGGCACCCGAAGACGCAGAGAGUUUGGAGAAGCAUGAAGACUAUUGAUAUCUCCACUUCCUCUCCACCCCACAACCUCUGACAGCUAGCCUGUCUCAGGGACCUCACCCCGUCAUCUCCCCAACCCCAGUGAACAUUCUACAGGGCUGCUGUAACUCUCCUCCGGAAGCAUCUCCUCUCCAAUUGUGAGGAUGACCUGCCUAAAAUUCUCCUCGGUAGAGGAAUUCCACAGCCAAGCCACCCGGAAGGCCCUCUGCAGGGACCUGCAGCAGACAGCAAGAAACCAUGCAACAGGACUAGCAGCUACUCUUUUGUUUUAUGCAUCAUCUACUAUUAAUUUUAUUAUUAUUUUGUGUGUGCGUGUGUGUGUCCAUGUACAUACCUAUGUGUGUGGAGGUCCGAGGACAUCUUUUGGUUUUCUCUUUCCACGGCAGGUUCUGGGAAUUGAACUUCAGGCAUUAGGGUUUGUACGACCAGCUGCAACGUUCCCACCCUUUCAUAUUUGCCUUUGGAUUUGUUUUUUAAAUGGUAGUAAAAUGUAUACUUUGCUACUUUG